ACGGGAGGCAGCAGUAAGGAAUAUUGGACAAUGGAGGAAACUCUGAUCCAGCCAUGCCGCGUGAAGGAUGACGGCCCUACGGGUUGUAAACUUCUUUUCUCAGGGAAGAAACCUCUGGAUUUAUCCGGAGCUGACGGUACCUGAGGAAUAAGCACUGGCUAACUCCGUGCUAGCAGCCGCGGUAAUACGGAGGGUGCAAGCGUUAUCCGGAUUCACUGGGUUUAAAGGGUGCGUAGGCGGAAUAGUAAGUCAGAGGUGAAAGCCUCGGGCUCAACCUGGGAAUUGCCUUUGAUACUGUUAAUCUUGAGUACAGUUGAGGUGGGCGGAAUGUGACGUGUAGCCGUGAAAUGCUUAGAUAUGUCACAGAACACCGAUUGCGAAGGCAGCUCACUAAACUGUUACUGACGCUGAGGCACGAAAGCGUGGGGAGCAAAUAGGAUUAGAUACCCUGGUAGUCCACGCCCUAAACUAUGAUCACUCGACAUUUGCGAUAUACUGUAAGUGUCCUAGCGAAAGCGUUAAGUGAUCCACCUGGGGAGUACGUUCGCAAGAA
Molecule: ribosomal RNA, 553 nt
Filed under: uncultured bacterium
Lineage: Bacteria
Description: bacterial SSU rRNA
Rfam family: Bacterial small subunit ribosomal RNA
Source: RNAcentral